RNAcentral lists this long non-coding RNA (26855 nucleotides) under Oryza sativa (Asian cultivated rice). RNAcentral describes it as "long non-coding RNA (OSAT_LNC001121)". The record is from RNAcentral. Lineage: Eukaryota; Viridiplantae; Streptophyta; Magnoliopsida; Poales; Poaceae.
ACCACUACUAUUCUUUCUUUUCUUGUUAUGCAUCCGGUCCUAUAAAUCUUUUUUUUCUGACCAGAGGAAGAGAAAAAGAGAGAAAUGUCGAUAAGUUAAUUCCUGUGGAUGUCUACUUGCCGGGCUGCCCACCUAAACCGGAGGCGGUUAUAGAUGCCCUAACAAAACUUCAUAAGAAGAUAUCGCGAGAAAUAGUUGAGGAUCGAACUCCUUUCUUUUCUAUUUCUUCUAUUGGCUGGUCUGGGGAAAGCGGAUCACACGAAGAUCUAUAGUGUUUAAGUCCAUCUUUCUCUUCCUGCAAUCUACUGAGAUAUGCCUCAGCUGCAGGUGCUUUGUAUCUCUGGUCAAGAGUUGGCAAGGGAUACUUAACCCAUGCCAUCCCUUUCAACCUUGGAAAGUGUUAUCCUAGAAUCUAUCAUUCUCCAAAAAUCCCUAAAGGCCCCCCGGGCUUGACAAGUUCAGCAAAACCGUAGAGAAAGCAGGUUACACCUAGCUUAGCCUAUCCAAUAUCCGAUUCAAAAAGAGCUUGGAUUGCUGCCUCCCGGGGGACAAAGCAAAGUCAAAGCGCUUGAUCCUUUGCCCCAUACUUUUAGAUCUUCCUCCCCAACAAGCAACGGGUUGAGCCCGGAAGAAGCAGGGAUUGAACCAGGGCUUGUUGACAGAGCAGAUAUCAAAAGCCUAUGUUAUCUCAUUUUCAGGGACCGAGCAAGGGAUGAGCGCCCUCUGAUCUAACGACCAAACAAGCAACUGCCUCAGGUUUUGAAUAAAUCACUGAUGGACGGAAGGGAGCGGGGGCCAGCUCCCUUCCUAUGAAAGACCCGAGCUUACUGGGAUGAUACCCCUUUACAUACUAAUGGGUGUAAACAAAUAGUACGCCCCUCUACUAAAGUGGGUUGGAAAGCCUGUAUGCCUAAUCUAUGCAGGGUAGGUGCGCCGCUACUUAUUUCUUUCUCACUCACUACUUUUUUCUAUUUUCUUUUGUCUAUCGAAACAGCCUAGGAUUCAAUUUGAUUUAUCCUAGUGGUGACAGCUUAUGCUUGUCCUUGGAACCGGGCGCGGCCCUCUUUCCGCUAUUAUGAGCGGGUUUUGGGUUAGCCAGAGCGGGCCAAUAGGGAUAAACAAAGUAUGGAAGUAGUUGUGAGGUAAUCAGAUGGCUCAAGAUAAGUUGGAGACGUACUUGAGAUAGAUAAUUUAUGUAUUUCGCUAUUUCGAAUACCUAAACUCAAGCGGUGCUAAUUUGCUAAUCCAAGCCUUAUCAAUAAUACCAACACGCCGUCUGAUCCAAGAUUAGCAACCUCUCUUUCUCUCAUAGAGGGAACCUCACUGACGCAUUCAGGGCUCUGCAGUUGAAGCGUUCCUUCGGAAUACACCACAAAUACACUGGUGGAUGUACUGAUGGACACGACGAGUACUUCUUCUGGGGGGCCUUCCGUGAAUCAGUCGGCGCGUGUUAGCGCAUUCGGAACCACACAUUUUUAUACGAUUUUCGGAUCAUUUGAUUUUCGUUUUGAAAACUUUAAAACCUUAUCAGAGAGGGGCCACCCCAACAUGAUCAAUAGGCUGAUGGCCUUACCAAACCGCUCUGCUCUUGAGCUUUCUUUCCUCCCUUAUGGCGGCGCAUUGGGGCACUAGAAAUCAAAGAAAUCUGCUAUGUUAUGUGUUAUGAGUUUGGGACCCAGCUGCUGAUGUUAGAGCUCUUUUCGAAAGAGCAGCUUAUCCAAGUAGUUAGUUUCCAGAACAGAGCGAGAAAGAAGAGAAAGAGAGGUACGCACUGUGAAAGAAGCCCACGUUCCCACUCUUCUUUCCCCCGUUGAUCGGGUUGUUAAAAGGGUUAGUCCUGUUGUUAGGAAGAGUUAGCGGUGUUUACACCGGUGUCAUGUGUACGGGGAUACGUGUAUUAAGAAAAAAGGCCCAGAAGGCAUGUUUUCGAAGCUUCCCCCGAAGAAUCGUCACCAAAGACAUUCUUCCAUGGGUUUUUUACAUGGGGGGGGGGGCUCGGUUUUGCACGCACCCUCCUUUCGUUAUUCCACCUUGAGCCUAGUGUAGUUGGGGAGAGGAGACCCCUGGGGUCAAGGUUGAAUCAAUAGAUCACAGUCUUGGAUCAAAGGGAUAAGCCAGAUGUCAGUGGGAAGGCGGAUUUUGCAUUUGGAGGCUUUCUUGCAUACCUUUUCGAAUUCUUUUUGUAUAGCUUAGUUACUUCUUCAGCGUAGCAGGCAUGCCCACGGGAGGCACCCUCCAAAUCACUAAAAGCAGCACUAUACCACCACAAGUAGAGGCUUCGCAGUGACAACCUUGAUCGAAUGUGUAGGAUAGGUGGGAGGUGGUGACACACAACGACCAAUCCUGAAAGACCACUCUUUCGUCUAAGGAUGCCUAACCGCCGCACCCUGGAUCCAUUCUGACCUAAUUGGAUGAAUGAAGAAGAGGGCGAGCAGAUACGACGGAUGGUCCAACUACAGAACUUCUUCUUUUUCAUUACUUCCAUGGUCGUGCCCCGUGGCACGGAACGGCUGUUUGGAGUUGAAGCCGGACUAGAAUUGGGAGCAAAUUCCGGCAACGAAUGGAUGUCCUCUUUUCUUCUUGUACGGCCCUGGUCUGCAUCGGGAGAAUGGGAAUAACGAUCUUUUAUAUGAUACGGAAAGCGAAGAGAAUAGACUGCUACAUACUAAGUUGGUUAUUCGUAGAUUUUUAAUCGAUUAGUUAACAUGGUGGUUAACCGUAUUAUGAAAGACGGAAAAAAAUCAUUGGCUUAUCAAAUUCUCUAUCGAGCCAUGAAAAAUUUUUUCAACAAAAAUGUGAAUUAGGAAGGAUUGGUCGACGAAAUAUGAAUCGAAGACUGAAUCUUGAUAUACCUCAUAACAGCACCUUCUUGUUACCGCGAAAUGCAAUAGGCAAUCGGCUAGAUGGCACAUCCAACCUGUUCACAGUUUUAUGCUGCUGGCACUUCAGAAACCAGAGCUGGGAUUGGUAGCGGUUCCACUUCUCAAGUUUGCAUAUUCUGAUCACACAAUGGAAUUCAGGUGGACCAGGGUUUGGGACACUAAUCUUUAAAUUAUAGAUGCAUUAUAACAUGUCAAGGGAGGCGCCGAGAUAUGAUAUGACCAAAGGCCUUGUUGUUGUUGCGACCACUGAGUAUCUAGGGUCAUUCCCUUUACCAAACAUUGGAGUUGCUGCUCGCUCGAAAGCUUUUGCUUUCUUCGGUACUGGUACUUCGGUCAAAGUACCUAAACCUCACUAAACCUAUGCUCUAGCUUCGAAAACAGGCCUUCUGGGUCUUUUUUCUCAAUACACGUAUCCCCGUACACGUGACACCGGUGUAAACACCGCUAACUCUCCCUAACAACAGGGUAUGGGGAGGGGAGAGAAGAGUGGGUAUGAGGGCUUCUCUCGCCAUCCAUAGCCCCCUUUCUUUAAAAUGCAAAGUGGACGUUCCCGCACGAACGGCGUGAACUCUGAUUCGAUCCGGGUAUUCAAUCCCACCGCUGAGAUGCUCAGUUGACUCCAUUAUCGAAUGGGGCAGACACUCCCAUGAGCUAUUUCAACCACUUACUAACACAGGGACACCACCAUUUUAAAGCUGAACUAUGAUCUUCUUUCGUGCACAUCUCGCUUUUUUUUUCAUUUAUGCGAAUGAAUUGCAGAACCAAACUAAAAUGGGUUGAUCGGAGCUAUUCUCUAGAAUUUCAAACUUGAGAUGACUUGCUUGAAGCGGCUGAGGCUCUUCCUAAUGGAAGAAAGGACAUCCAAUGUUAGGAUGGAUCUAAUUCAAGAAUUUCUAGCUCUAUACGCGAGGAACGGAUGCUGUUUUGACUUUUUUCUUCUUGCUUUAAUCCAGUCGCUCGAUAGGACUUCCCGUAACCCGAAAAGGUUGGUUCUUCCCCUACAACCCCUACCCCUCCAAGGCAGUACUCUUCAUCGGCAAAUCCGAAUGUCUCGAUCCGAGUUGAGACCCACCUACAGAAAUUGAUCCAUCAAAGAAUUUCCUGCUGCUAUCAUAUAAUACUCAUCUCUAUUUGGUGAUAAAUAAACCACCUGUCUCUCUUUUUUUUUCUUUGCUUUCUCAGAUAUUUUAGAUUGAAAGCCAUAGUACUAAUACCUAAAGCAGUGAACCAAAUCCCUACUACAGGCCAAGCAGCCAAGAAGAAGUGUAAAGAACGAGAGUUUUUAAAACUAGCAUAUUGGAAGAUUAAUCGGCCAAAAUAACCACUUUUUCAAAACCUAUCAUUAAGGGCGUGACGACGAUAUACGAGAGGAAUAAAAAAAAACUCGUGAUUGGUGUGGAGGGGAAGAUCUGCUUAUGAAAUUGUUCAAGAAAGAGUCGUCUCAUUUCCUUAUAUUGAAUUCCUUCUAUGGUUCCACAUGAGAAACCAGUACGAAUAUAACCUACAUGUCCAAUCGAAUUAUGAGCUAGAGGUCUUUUGACUUUCGUUAGAUUAUCUUGAACAUAGGUGCGAGUAAGUUGUAUUGUUUGGUCUUUAUAGCUACAGUUUGAUGGUUUGGUCGUUGCUUCCUCGUUUUCUAUUUAUUCAUCUAAUUAAUCUCCAUUAUAACCUACGAGACAAAGUGAUUAACUAUAUGAUUAACGAGUAAUAUGCUGCAUAUGCAUUGGAGCAUUGUGGUGUUGUACGCAUGGAGCCCGGGCAAUUGCCCAUGGUGGCCAGGCGCUGCAUCCGCCACCAACAGUCGACGUCGCGGCUGAUGAGCGUGGCGUGGAGCGCAAUGCGGCCGGCUCUCCGGCCCAUGAGCUUGGUGAGGCCGACGCCGUUCACUGCGCCCUCGGUCUCCACGUGCCCGGUGGCGAUGGCAUGCUGCGCCGCGUCCACCGCCGUGUGGAACCCGAACGAGCCGCCGCUGCUGGACCUCACGGUGGAUUGUCGCCGCGCCGCGCAUCAUGUCGUCCCCACCGCCGUUGGGGUGGGACGGAGGAGGAGCAGAGGCGGCGCAGGGGGACGAGGAUGCAGGAGGUGGGCCAGCGAGGGAGGAGCCUGGAAGGUGAGGUAGCGGUGGCGGUGAGGGCGGGGAGAGGAAGGCAGCGGCUCGAAGGUGGAGUGCGGUGGUGGCGCGCAAGGUCGCCUCCUACUGCCCACCUCGCUCACCUGCGGGAAGAGAAGAUGAAGAGAGGCGGGAGGGUAGAAGAGAGAAGUGAGGAUGAAGAAGCAGAGAGAGAAGGGAGAGGGAAGAAGGGAGGUGAGGUUGACAUGUGGGGUCCAUGUGUGCCUCAUCAUUUUUAAUUAUUUUUUAACUGACAUGUGGGGCUAUGAUUUUUAUUAUUUUUCCGGGAUCAAAUUGUCACGUAAACGCCACGUGGGAUGACGACCAACCUACCACGUGGCGCCACGUCAAUCAAAAUUACCUUCUAACCCGCCGAGGGAACUUGUUUGCACCGGUUUUGACAGUUCAGGGAUCGGUUGUAUCUUUUUGGGUUAAGGACAAAAAUCGGAUUCGGUGUAAAGUUAAGGACGUCAAAUGAACUUAUUCCAAUCAAUUGGUAUGUCUCAUAUUUUGGCGCAGAAAACCCAAACUUAGGCCCAUAUUUUGGUACCUCGGGAAUGGGCCGGGUACAGUGUGAACACGUUCCAGCCAUAUAUAACCCCUUCGUCUCCAGUCCCCAUCCCCCCCUUCCCUUUCCUCCACCCACGCCGCGACGACGAGUCGCCGCCGCGGCCUCGCCGGCGACCAGGUCUCCGGCGGCCCCGCCGCCCGCCGUGACGGGGCUCCGGCCUUCCGCCCUCCUCCCCGCACCGCCCGCUAUCUCGGCUCCCCGACUCCUGCAUUCCCCCGACUCUCCCCCGGCCGCCGCCGCCGCCAUUUCUGACUCUUUCUCCGCGGCGCGUCUCUCCUCCGAGAGCACGCCGACCGCCUCCCGAAGCGGCGUCGCGGCCGCGGCGGCCGCCGCCUUCUCCCGCCCCUGAUGGCUGGCGAUUCCCGAAAUGAGGCGGGUUCUUUCUCCUUUGCCUUUUUUUACUGCUCGGAUGAAAUUUGAAUCUGUGUAUGCUUGUGGUUGUGAUGAAAUUUAGCUUGUUCUGUCCCCGCAGCCGAUGUUUUGCGAGGAAGGGAGCAGUGAAUCGGGCUAUGUUCUAUGUGUUAUUGAUUCGCUGAAGAAGAAAAUCACAUCGGACCGCUUUGUUUACAUCCAGGUGAUUUGAUUUGAUUUGAUUGUUUGGAGCUGCAAAUCUCGGUCAUUUUCUUGUAUUUUCUUUAUUUACCAGCUGAUUAGUUUUGUUCCCCGUGAUCUUUUUUUCCAGAAAAGGGUAGAGGAGAAUAGCAUUAAGCUUAGCCCGAUUACACUGCACUCUCACAAUUUGUCAAAAAAUAGGCAAACUAGUACAUCCAACAGUACAGAUUUAGUCUCGAAUUUGCUCACAAAGAGGAAAGAAGAUGCCCUGUGUGCUGUGAAUAGUCGUGAGUCAUCUCCUGAUGAAAGUGAAGGUGCCAAUUGCCAAGAUGAGUGUUCAUCGACUGUUAUUGUGGGUGGAAAUCUAUCCGCGAGGAAUUCUGUCCGUCCGAUUAGACUACCAGAAGUGGCAACACUCCCUCCAUAUACAACUUGGAUAUUUUUGGACAGGUGCAUUUUCUUGACAUCCCUAAGAUCCCUGCUUAAAUUACAUAGUUAUCAUGGAAAGUUAUAGCGUAUACACUUUAUUAUCCAUUAGCAACAACAUAGCAAUACUAUUUCAUUUCUCUUGCUAAACAGUAAACACACGCUCAUUUGUGGUCUUUAGUUUUUUGUGCAACAAUCUAUUCAGUCAAACAUAGUUUUUCCGACCUAAUGCUUUAUGUCUCUGGUGAUUUUUUUUCUCUUCAUGUGUAAAUGUGUAAUGGAGAUAUUGCCUUUCGUUCUUACUAUAAGCUUGGGAAAUGGUAUAGUAUAAAAAUGGAACAAGUCCUUAUGCGGCCCCUUGCUACGUGCCCCACCUCUCUCUUAAUCACAUGCAGUUGCAGACUUGCAGGCUGGGAGUGUGUGUUAAAACAAGAGCAGCAAAUGCCACAUUGACUGCCUUGAAUUCAUCUUCUUGGCUUUGGUAGCAAAGCUAUUGUGCCAGAACCAUUGGCUUUGCCUGCUGCAGUGUUUCUUUUGCUUUUGCUGUUUCAUCCGCUUUAUGCUUCUUAGUGUUCUCUUUGCUAUUGCGUGAUUUUGUGGAGCAGCAAGCAAAAAAUCAGACUGAAACAUGUUUUUGAUGAAUUGUUUGUUGAUAUGAAUUUAACAGUAUAUCUCAUAUGACAAACUUCUAUUUUUCUAAAUAAGUAAUGCAAAACAUGCAUGGUCACAGUUACAAUCCAGCAUACUUUUAGUUUGGAGAGGUAGGGCAUCUUAAGGUUUGUUGAAAUAUAAGAUUUUACAAUCUUUCGUGCAGGAACCAGCGGAUGCAAGAAGACCAAUCUGUACUUGGUCGUCGAAGGAUUUACUAUGAUACAAACUGUGGCGAAGCUUUAAUUUGCAGUGAUAGUGAAGAUGAAGCUGUUGAGGACGAGGAAGAGAAAAAGGAGUUCAAGGAUUCUGAAGAUUGCAUAAUUCGGUAAAUAUGCUUUGGACAUGCAUUUGUUUUCUUUUGCCUUGAACAUUCACUAAGGAUGCUCAACUUGUUUGACCGUUACAGGCUCAUGGGACCAAGAUACAGGUGCAGUUACCAUAGCACCUGGAGCUUGGGCUCAGUCCAUAGAAUAACAGAUCUGAUGACUCUGUAGUAAUAGUUUCAUGGAGAAAUGCUUUCUUCUGUAAGCAUUUUGUCAUAUUCUCUGUUUUUCUUUUGACUGGGAAAACUACCAGGACUUUGCCUAGUAGUGUAAUUUCAUUAAAGAAUAAAAAAUAGUAAUAUUCUCUUUUUGAAGUCACAAUAUAACAUAGUACAGAAGCAAUAGAGAAAUGAUAUUAAAUAUACUGGUCAAGUAACAUUUGGUAUGAAAUAUUCCCAAGAGAUUAUUUAGUAAAACUACAUUAUUAAAAACUUGUAAGAAAAAGGGUUUGGUUUUGGGGCAUAUGUCUUAUAUCAUUAAAUGAAAUGGUCAUUACCAGUUUUAUCUACAUUGUUCCAGGGGAAAACCUUGAGCUGGUCACACUGCAUAUUUGACCUGGUUUUGUUUUGUGCAACCCUUGCACAAGCAAGAAAAGUAUGGUUACAGCAUUAAUCUGAGUUGUUUGUGGAUUAAUUUAGACCUUAAACAUCAUAGAUCACAAUAAUUUGGUUUCUCCUGUAUGGAAUUCUUCCACUUAAGGGUGAUUUUGUGCAAUGAUUGCCAGGAUGACCAUUCAAGAAUGUGGCAUGUCUGAUGCUGUGCUUGAAACUCUAGCUCGAGAUAUCGAAAGGGCUCCUGAUGAUAUAAAGGUUCAUACAACAUUUAUUCAAUCUCACGUCACAUUUGCAUUUGAUCCAUUUGGGAUUUUCCUCUUCCAACUUAUUGUUUCAUUUCUGAAAAAUUAAAUUACGUGUCUAUUUUCCAGGCCAGGUAUGAGAUCCUACAAGGGGAGAAACCUGAGGGUUCUUCCAAGAAAGUGUCUGAACUUAAUGUCAAAAUGGAAGACGUGUACGGUGAUAAAGAUCUGGAUGCAGCAUUGGAUUCCUUUGACAAUCUCUUUUGUCGCCGAUGUUUGGUACGUUUUCUGUUAAUUGUCAUGUGUGUUUUACAUAAUAUCUCUGGUUUACUGAUGAAACAUUCUGCUCAUUUUGAUGUUGGAAGGUUUUUGAUUGCAAGCUACAUGGGUGUUCUCAAGAUUUAGUAUUUCCGGUAAUUUUCAAACCAAUGAGUUAUUUCCUAAACUUGUGUGUUGUUCUAAUUAGUGUCCUUUUCGUAUAGACUGAAAAGCAGGCACCAUUGUGCAGCUCGGAUGAGGGUACACCAUGUGGUAUUCACUGUUACAAACUGGUCUGUAUUUUAUAGGCAUAUGACUGUGGAAAAGCAGCUCUUCUUUUAUGAUGAUUUAGAUAUCCGAAACAUAAGCAUAUGCCGUUUUGCUGAUCUUUACCUCAUUUAUAAUCUUUUUGUCAGGUCUCUAAACCAGAUGCUAUCAUGGAGAUUGAUUCUCAUUUGCUUGUUGAUGUUGAGGAGCCAACAUCGGACAAUCUAAAGGAUCAGAUAGGGUCAAAUAAGAAAAAGCUUGGUUCUAGUGGGCAGAAAACAAAAUCUCAACAAAGUGAAAGUUCUUCAACUGCAAGGGUUUCCUCAGAAAGCAGUGAGUCUGAAGUACAACUGUUAAGCAAUAAAUCCCCGCAACACUCUCCUGGCCUCUCAAAAAAUAAGCUUGGCGCAAAAGGUGGAAUCAAGAAAAGUACUAACAGAAGAAUUGCUGAGAGAAUUCUAAUGAGUGUGAAAAAGGGGCAACAGGAAAUGUCACCGGACUCUAAUUCUAUUGUUAAUGGAUGCCAUUGGCCUAGGGAUAUGAAGCUUAGAUCUGAUACUAGGAGUGGAAUUAAGGAUUCUGUUGUAUCCUCACAGUGUAAUUCUCCAAGCACAAGGAGUUUUAGAAAGAAGGGCACACUUCAAAUGGAGAAUAACUCAUCUUUUGUGGAUGCUCAGAGUGAUUCAAUGGAGGAUACAAAUAAUGAACAUUCAGCAACAGAUGGUUGUGAUAGUUCAAGGAAAGAGGAAUGUGUUGAUGAGAGUAUAUGCAGGCAAGAAGCUCAUGGCAGGUCCUGGAAAGUGAUUGAGCAAGGGCUUCUAUUGAAAGGAUUAGAGAUUUUUGGAAAGAACAGGUUGGUCCCUUGAAAUGAUCAGCUUCAUAUGAAUUAUUUCACUACCUUCUACUUCAUCUUAAUAUUUGUAUACUAUUGCACAACUAACUGCUGUAUCUGUUCAGGACAGAGUAAACGUUAAUGUGUCUAAUCCCUCCGUCCCAAAAUAUAAGGCGUGCUUUGACUUUUAAUUGUCAAUUUCUCACAAGUAUACUGUCUAUACUCUAUAGUGGAACCAACAUCAUAUGAAAGUACAUUCAAAUAUGAAUCUGACAAUACCAUUUUUAUAUCACUAAACCUAUAUAUUGUCAGACUAGUUGUGAGUCAAGAUUUGUAAAAUUUGAAUUUUAAAAUGCGUGCACACCUUAUAUUUUGGGGUGGAGGGAUUAACCUUUCAGUUCAGCACAAGAAACUGACUAUGCUUUCUUUUAAUAUAUCUGUAUUACUAAAAGUAUUCAACACAAAUGUCUAUAUUUAAAGCAAAUGCUCUUGCAUCAUAAUUAGACAUCCCCGAAACUAUAUUCUUAUACUACUACAUUUCAAGUAAAAGCUGUAACAUGAAGAUACAAUCUACAAUUUGUCAUGCAUAACGUAUUGGAAUGCGGAAUUAACUGGAAUUUCUAAUGUUUGCAUCAUUUAGUAUCUAGUUGUGUUAGUUAUAGCGUUUCAUGUACAAGAAAUUCUGAUGUAUGUUCAUUUCAAAUGCCUUAAAAACUCAUUCCUGUUUUCUUUGGAUGUCUUGCAAGCAUAUUGGAAAUGUUCUUUAUCCUUUCUAUAAUGAGUAGAAUACCUUGUUUUCCCUAAUUUGAAUAGUCAUACUGAGCCCUUGUUUUUCCUAUGUUGAAGUUGUUUAAUUGCUCGGAACCUUCUGGGUGGGAUGAAAACAUGCACAGAUGUUUUUCAGUAUAUGAAUUACAUUGAAAACAGCAGUGCAUCUGGAGCUCUUAGUGGUGUUGAUUCUCUUGUUAAAGGAUAUAUGAAGGUAGGAUUCAUCAUAAAGCUCAUUUACUUGUAUUUUCCCAAGGUUUCAUCUUACUUUAAUGCUUGAACUCCCAGGGUAAUGAAUUACGGACAAGAUCAAGAUUUGUGAGAAGGCGAGGAAGGGUCCGCCGUUUGAAGUACACCUGGAAAACUGCAGGCUACCAUUUUAUAAGGAAAAGGAUUACAGAAAGGAAGGAUCAGCCUUGUCGACAAUACACUCCUUGUGGUUGCCAGUCUGCAUGUGGGAAGCAAUGUCCAUGUCUCACAAAUGGUACCUGCUGUGAGAAAUACUGUGGGUGAGCUACUUCAAUUAUUCAUAUUGCAGACUCCGAGAACAUUUUUUCUUCUAGAUAUUAAUAAUGUUGCUUAUGAAAACAAAACUGUGUAGAUGUAUACAAUUUCAAUAUUGUUUGGUUAGUGCCGACCAAUUAUGUCGUAUGAUCACAUCUUAGUUUUGCAAUCAUUGCUGCUUACUGAAAAGGAAAGGAAAAUAAAACCUAGGAGGAACUAGGCACCCUUUCAAUUAAGAGGAAAACAGGCACCAAAUUUCUAGUUGAAGAGGACUUGAACCUUGAUGGUGGGAGAGUGAGGGUGUAAACUCCGCAUUUCUCACCCAAAUGGUGAAUCAAACACAUGCUUCUCUUUUGUUCUGUGUGCUCUUUUGGCUAUUAGCUAUUACUUAUUUUGAUAAUUUAUAAUUUUAAUUGGAAUAAAUGAUGCAAACACAUGGAGUGCAAAUGUUUGCUGUCCGCAUCCUGCUGAUGCAAGUUGAAGUAAUCCUUUCUGCGUUGCAGGUGCCCGAAAAUGUGCAAGAAUCGCUUCCGAGGUUGCCAUUGCGCAAAGAGUCAGUGUCGCAGCCGGCAGUGUCCAUGCUUUGCUGCUGACAGGGAAUGUGAUCCUGAUGUGUGUAGAAACUGCUGGGUAGGGUAUGUAUUUUAAAUUCUGAUGACCCUUUGAAUGAUUUUGCUAGUUAAUGCACAUUUGUAUAUCUUAGAGAAAGGCACCAACUAUAAUGUGCUUUUCAUUCUUUGCACUUCUCCAACCUUACAUCUACCUUGAAAGUUGAGAAAUUACCACCUAUGCCUGCACUUGAAGGAUGGAAUUUUGAUGGAUGAUGGAUUUAUCCUUAAGUGCAGGAAGAAUCUUGCAUAUGUAUAUUCCAGUAUCUGAAGAUACGGAGUUCUGCAGUAAAAUAUCUUAAUGGUAGAAUUGAAUUUAAUUAAUAUAAUCAUAUCAAUUGCUUGCCCAACAGUCCCAAUAGGCAAUAGCUACAUUCCACAAUUAAAAAAAUGGUGCAAUAAUAAUAAUUUGACAUUUCCUUCUCAUACCAUUUGCUAGCAUACUUGAUAGUGUGUGCCAGCACAUUGACAAUUGAUAUUCUAUAUCUAAAUUAUUUAUAACAAUAUCUGAGUUUUAUAGGAGUGUUUACCAGGAGUUAAUCCAUGAAAAAUGUAUCAAUGAUGGGGGAGUUUAAUUUGAAUUUGUUAUGAACGAGCUUCUAAUGGUAGGAAAUGAAAUUUUAGAUACUGUAAGUUGUUAGGCAAACACCAAAGAUGAGUAUAUUAUCCGGCCAGUGUGUAAAUCCAAUCAUGAUCCUUUUUCACUCCAUGGAACCUUAAAUAUGCUUUCUGUUAUUCAUUGUUGAAAUAGUCUGUUAUUCAAUUUCAAUUACUGUUUCUUCAUCCCUAAUUUUUCUAGAACAAAGCGCCAGUACAUUGAACUUCUAUUUUUCUACCUGUACUUUCUAUUGUGCAGGUGCGGUGAUGGUACAUUGGGAGUCCCUAACCAAAGAGGUGAUAAUUAUGAAUGCCGGAACAUGAAACUGCUGCUUAAACAGCAACAAAGGGUAAACCUUUUGCACUUUGAUUUAUUCAUGCUAUUGCACCUUGGUUAUAAUUUCGUCAAGCCUAUCGAUUUUUUAUGCCUGCUUGGCCCUUCCAUUUGCCUUUAUUCGAUGCUUUGAUAUUUUUGUGUGAGGAGGCUUGAGGUCUAAGUUAAUUACCCAGCAGUACUUCUCAAUAGUUUUAUUCUUUUUUUUUAAUAUUUUUCACGUGAGUUCAAAUUCCAGUUGUCUAAAUACAAAAGAUCUUAAGUUUAAUACCAAAGAAACUAGUUAGAGUAACUAUAUUCCAAAACAGGCAAUGAACUAUGAACCAAAAAACUUCCCAUUAGCAGGAAAAUAAUUGCAUAAAGUAUCUAUCGAUUAUGUUGGUGAAUUUAUGAAACACCAGGGGGUGUUACUUCAUUUUCUAUUACAGGUCCUAUUCCAUCUCUAAAUAUCUGUAAAUAGUAUUGACUUGCUAUGUGCACUCUUCAGGUCUUACUUGGGAGAUCUGAUGUUUCUGGCUGGGGAGCUUUCCUCAAGGUAAGAUUUCUCUAUUGACCCUUUUCCUCCCUCAUAGGACGUACCCUCAUCUAACUAGUCCUUUUCCUAAAUCUUCAGAAUAGUGUUGGGAAGCACGAGUAUCUUGGCGAGUACACUGGGGAGCUUAUCUCCCAUAAAGAAGCUGACAAGCGUGGAAAGAUAUAUGACCGUGAGAAUUCAUCGUUCCUUUUCAACUUGAACAAUGAGGUGAGUGCAAAGACACCCCGCAAAUUACGGUCUGCAAGCAUUCAGGAUUGCAUACUGUACUGAUUUGACUAGCCUAAUGUCAUCCUUUUGCGUGAACCGAGUUGUUUACAUCCCCAACCCACUGUUGUUCAAUAUCGCGCGAUUUAUGAUCCGCUGCAGUGUUUUCGCUGUUUUCGCCAGUACCGGAUGCUCACUCACUCACUUUACCCUCUCGAUGAAUGCAGUACGUUCUUGAUGCCUACAGAAUGGGCGACAAGCUGAAGUUCGCCAACCAUUCCCCUGAUCCAAACUGCUACGCCAAGGUCAUCAUGGUAGCAGGCGAUCACAGGGUGGGGAUCUUCGCCAAAGAGCGGAUCAGCGCGGGCGAGGAGCUGUUCUACGACUACCGCUACGAGCCCGACCGGGCCCCGGCGUGGGCUCGCAAGCCCGAGGGGCCCGGUGCCAAGGACGACGCCCAGCCUUCCACCGGGAGAGCAAAGAAGCUCGCCCACUGAAGAAGAAGAAGAAGAAGAAGAUCAGCCGUUGAUUCUUUUGUUGUCUUGGUUGAUUCUUUCGUUAUUGGUGAGGGGGACCGAGAACUCUGACGGUGAUUAGCGCCGUAAGGAAAACUUUCCUGCCAUUCGUUGGCCCCCUCGAUUCGAUUCGUUGAUUUUCCCUGAAUUCUGUAACUGCUGCACCUGUCGCCAGUUCAACUUCAAAAGAUUUUUCUGAUUCUGGAUCAGUUGUUGUGUUCUUAUGUGUUACUUUUCGAAAAUACAAUCACCAUCUAAAAUGCAUGCAUGACACUGUUGACUUUUCGGAUAACUUUGGCCCAUUCAUCUUAUAUAAAUAUAUAAAAGUAUAAAUAGUUUUUUAUUGAUAAAACAAAUCAUAACAAAAUAAAUGAUAUUUAUAUUUUUUAAUAAAAUAAAUGAUCAAAUGUUUUGAAUAAGGUUAACGGAGGAGAUUACCGAGUUGUUUCCUUCGUGAAAAGUCGGCGAGAGCUGGAAGCCAGCGAUGGCUGGGAAUGGCGUGGUGGCGUUGUUGCCAAGGGCCCACAUACCAUACACCGUGCGAACGCCGCGGCAAAGCUUGAUGCGAGGCUUGUUUAUCUCGUCUAGCAGUAGCAGGCAUGGGUAGGGUCAAUGGGCUAAUCUGCGUCCGGCCUAUCCUGAGGCGUUGUUUCAAAAGAUCUAUACAACAAAACUAACACUCCGUUUUGUAUUAUAAAACGCUUUGAUUUUUUUCAAACCUUUUUAAGUUUGAUCUUUGUAAAAAAUUAACAUCUUAAUAUCAAAUUAGUUUAAUUAAAUUUAACAUUAAAUAGAUUUUGAUAGUAUGAUUAUUUUAUGUUUAAAAUAUUAUAAUGUUUUUUAUAAACUUUGUCAAACUUCACGAAGUGACUUAAAUUAAAGUUAAAUCGUCUUAUAAUAUAAAAUGGAAGGAAUAAAGAGUAUAUUACAUUUGUUGUACACAAAUUUAUUUAGGUGGGUAUAAUUCUAUAUAUGAACUUAUUAUGAAACAUUCGCUGUAAUACACGAACUCGACAUGGUCAGGGUGGCGAGGAGCUCCGAGUGAUGGCAGAUGGACUCUCCAUAGAUCGACCCCCUGUGAUGGUGCGGGAAGGUGCAAGGGUGAGCAGCCACACCGUACGCCGGUGAAGGAGCUCCUUUUCCUCUUCCUCCUCCUCUUCUUCUUCCUCCUCCUCCUCCUCUCUCUGCCCUUCCCUUCUCGAUGAACAAAGGAGCCGAAGUUGCAGCCUGUGAGUUAUAUCCCUCCUUCCCCGACCACUACUACUUUCUGUCCCUCCAUCCCCAGCUCCCUCCCUCCCUCCGCUCCCUUGACAUGGAUUGGAGAAGGAGCAAGGUGCUCGCAGCGGACGCAGGGCUCAAGCUCCUCCACGUGCAACUAGCCUCGGUAGGUGAAACCUCUCUCACUUUAUCGAUGCUCAGCUCCUCCUUGCCCCCAACCCUUCUCACUACCGCUCAGUCGACGUUGACCGCCUCCUUUGCUUCCGAAUAGACCACCUCUUCUGCCACCAACCUCCAUCUUAUUUAGAUCUCAUUGGCUUCGACAUAGCCUAGGCAGAGCUCCUAGAUGUCGAGGCAACAAAGCUCGGGGCUCGCGAGGAAGGCGGAGCUUGGUGGCAGUCUGACGAGAUCCCAUGGAGAGCGAACCCGUUGAGUUCUGGUGAGAUCCGUUACCCUUGAAGCCUUAUGGAGCUUUGCCUCUUGUUGGCGCCGUCCUUGAAGCCUUGCCAAGGCCUGCCUCUCACCAACACCGCCAUUGAAGCCUCAUCGAGCUCUCUUACCAACGCCGAUCUAAAGCUUCACCUCUAUCGGCUUCGGCUCAGCGACGGAGGCCACACCAUGGGGAAGAGGGAAAGAGGGGACACAAAGCAGAAAGAAGAUGUAAGUAGCAAUGACAGGUGGACCCUCUCUCUUAUGCAACCAAUGUGGAUCUAUUGUAUAGGUCAAUAGGUGGCAUCCACGUGUAGUACAAUCACCGUAAAAUAGCUCGAAGGUGGUAAAUCAUCUUAUACUAAUAGUUGGCGUAUCAUAUCUGGUUUUAUAAUUUCUAAGUAUAUUUUAGACCACCAUACGAUUUCAAGAGAGUAAAAUGGAUAAUCCCCCAUAAUAAAUCUCACUAGUUGUGUGAUAUAGCGGCGUAUGGACACUAACAAAACAUUAAUGCAGCCAAAGCAACCCCCCAUCAUAUCUCUCUUGGCCCCCCAUGAUAUAUGAACAGAAGUUACAGAACAGUAGCAGUGGGGGUACACCCUAUACCCUCCCUGGGGGACCUCUGAAUACUUCGAUCAGAGUAACGGUGCGGUGCCAAACUGAUCAGAUCACACACUUCAGACUACAGUCAAACAGAGCCCUUGCUUGCUUUGCUUGUGUCUUCAACUUCAGAGACCCCCUCCUACCCUCAAAAAAUUUCCCCUUUCUUUUCCUCCGUUUCUUGCAGCGACAAGAGAAAUACUAAUACUCCUCCUCCUACUACUGCUACUGUGCAAGGGGAAGGACACGACGACGAAUUGGAGAGCGGCGUCCUCUCUGAUCCUUUUUUUUCCUUUAUUGCAUCUCUCUCUCUCUCUCGCCAUUUUUCUUCUAGGUUGGUCUCUGGAUCAGGCCAUUGAGGGGGAAAGAAAAGGUGCGGGUUUUGGGGGGAGGUUGUUCUUGCGGGAGGCCGUUGAUUUCGCCGUGUGAUCGGAGGUGAGGUUCCCAGAAAAAAGGUUUACAAUCCUUCUUGUGUUUUUCUAGCCUAGUAGUUCUUGGUUCUUGGAUGCUAGUACGCGUGUCCGUCAUCUUCUUGUUCUUUGUGUGCGCCUUCCGAGGAUUUUUAUUUUCCUUCCCUUUGUUAUUUAAUGGUGUCAGUGGAUUAGGUUUAUGUGUAUCUGUGUUAGUCAUCUCAGCUCAGCUCAGCUCAGCCUUGUUGCUUUCACUGACUGACUGUACUUACAUUUGUUUAAGUGAGAUUAGGUCGAAUAAAUUAGUAGGAUUCCCUCAAAAGAACCAUCUUUUGUGGAGUUAGGUGGAUUUGGUGCUCAUCCGUGCUACUUUCUCACCCUAGAAGCUUUUGUUCACCACCCAGAUUUUGGUCUUCAGGGAGUGAAAAGGAGAUGAAUGAGAAGGACGCCACUGAUUUGGAGGAGAGGAGUGAGGCCAGUGAGCACGGCCAAGCUCUGAGUUUCCAUGGUGGUGCCAUGUUCUUGCAAGAGGCUCAGAUUGCUUCUCCUGCAGCUGCAAAUAAUGCAUUGACCUCCAUGGCGAAUCCUUUCCCUAUCCCUCCUGGGUUGUGGAAUCCACCUUCACACAACAUGGGUUUAGGCGAAACCAGUUUUUCAUCCUUGUUGGGGAUGCUGUCGGCCGGCGCGCCGCCACCGUUUGUGGCUACUCCCGGGUUUGUAGAUUCCACGGCGGGGUUUCCUUGCUACAAUGGAGGCAAUCUUGGAGCCAUGAUCAAUCACCCUUUCCCUGGUAUCCACCAGCCUUUGGGUGAUUUCCAAAACGGCGUCGAGCCAUGUAGGGAGAUUGAGGAUAUUGAGAUUGAAGGAUCCAAGAAUGUGUCACAAACUGGUGAGAAGCAGCAAGGGGAUGGUGAGACAACGCAUGCCGUCGAUUCCUCCUCCAAGGAGCUAAGCAUGCCAGGGCGCAAUGGUGGCGCUGGCCAUGAUGAGGGGACUAGGGUGUCUUGUUCCAAGAAGAGGAAAAGAUCAGGACAGGUAUUUGCUUGAUGUACACAUAUUUACAGAGCUGAAUCUCCGCAUAUUUAGGUGGAGCUAAGAAUAUGAAAUUUUCUUGAUUCUUGAAGGAUGGUGGGGUGAAGCAUGCAGAAGGUGGUGAGCAAUUAGCAACUGUCGGUUCAGCGCAGAAGAAUGAGGAUGAUGAAAAGGGUGAACCAAAGAGGUCUUCUGUGGCGUCCGGGAAAUCCAGUGGGAAGCAAAUAAAGGAUAAUGCAGGUUCACCAAAGGAAGACUAUAUACAUGUAAGAGCACGGCGCGGUCAGGCUACAAACAGCCAUAGUCUUGCCGAAAGGGUAGGUCCUUUUUUUCUUCUCUCUAAUGAUCUCUUCAUAAAAUGGUGUAUCUAGCCAUCUGGUUUGACUGUUAUUGUUCGGGAUGCAGGUUAGGAGGGAGAAGAUCAGUGAAAGGAUGAAAUAUCUUCAGGAUCUUGUUCCUGGUUGUAGUAAAGUAAGUGCUUCCUAACUGUCCCCUGCCUCCAUACUGAAUGACUGUUAAUCUGUUAUGACAUCAAUUGUGAAAUGUAAUCUAGGUAACUGGUAAGGCUGUUAUGCUGGAUGAGAUAAUUAACUAUGUUCAAUCAUUACAGAGGCAGGUUGAGGUAUGAUGUUUGUAAAACUUGUAGGGCCAUUUUCAGUUUUACUUGCAUAGUCCUGCUGCGAUGUAAUCUGGUAUACCCAAUGUGUGCAUGUUGGGCAGUUUUUGUCGAUGAAGCUAGCAAGUGUCAAUCCAACACUGGACUUCAACAUAGAACGCAUUUUAUCUAAAGAUGUAAGAUAGUUCUCACCUGGUCUUUAUAGAUUUUGACCCUUUAGAUUUGUCUUUCUCAUGAUGAUUGUUUCAUCCACACAGAUUUUUCAAUGUCGAGGCACUACUGCAUCAUCUGCCUUUGGCUUCUUCCCAGACAUUGUUCAUCCCCGAUUACACCCACCAAAAUAUACACAAGUUGGGAUGCCCAGCAUUGUGAACCCCACUGAUGCAUUUGGAAGAGUAAUCCAUGCUCCAUUAGGAACUAACAGUGCAUUCAAAGAACCUAAACAUCAGGUUUGUACCAUCACUUGCAUUUGGCUAAAUGGCCAUUUUCAUUUCAUGCUCUUUAUACCAAAUACUGUGUUCAUGAAAAAUAGGACAAGUUUCUGCAAGAUGUUCCAAGACCUAAUUUAGUGUUAUAUGGCUUGGUGUUUCGAGAAUACUGCUCCACAGAUAGUCGUUGAAAAGAAUGUCCACAUAAUAUUUUAAACCAAGAAAAGCUAGUCCCCUUUAUAUCCUUUUGCUGGGUCUUGCUUCACUACCCAUCUUUCCAAAAAGUUCGUGGGUCUUAAAAGCAAAGCAAACUAGAUAACAUAACUAAACUGAGACAUUUUAGACAACAAACAAAAUUCCUACUAUCUGUUUUUCAUAACUAGCCAGAUUGUGCCUGAUUCUUUUGGCCAUGCAAGCUGUUUGAACCUAGUCCAUCAAUCAGUCUCUUUAGCUUCUGACUCAUUAACCCUCUUCAACCUGAUUUUAGUGGGAAGAGCAUUGUUGAUGUUAACCGACAUUGUAACCUCAGUAGCACUAACCAUUUCACUAGUAAACCAACUAAAAAUGUACAAAUGCAGCUUGUUAUAUAUCUAAUUGUAUCUUCAUCACUACAUAUUUGCCUUCACAGUUAUCUAAAACAUAUGCUUUCAUAUUCAUAAACAUUUUUUUGGAAAGCGGAGUACCAAAGCACUGUUUUAGUAUUUUGCAAUCCUCUUAUUACUUGUGCAUUGGACAGAUGCCCAACAAUUUGAAUGGAGAGUUCCAGGACGUCAUUGAGAUGCCUUUUACUCAUGACCAUCAUGGAUCAAAUGAUCAACCCUGAGAUUGAUUCCACAACUGAAGCAAGAGAUCAAUAUGUGCCAUGGGCUUUCAGCAAAACUGUGAUAUAUGAGCAUGUUGAUAUCAUGGUACUAGCUCACAGCUGAUCACUGAAGUAUAAGCAUCCAAAAUGCUUAGUUAGUGCUAUUUUUCUCAUGUUCAUAGCAGCAAUUGACCUCCUGUGGAAGCCUCUCUUUGGAUGUUCCAUUUGCUGUUAUAGAAAGUUGGGAGAUAAAAAAAAAAGGAUGUUCACAUGGAGAUCUCAAGCAAUUUGUUCUCCACUGAAGUAGUCUACAGUCUUGAAAUGGCGAGAAGCUUCAUUUUGCAAGAAGGUGAUUUUUCUGUGGUCUCGUCAACCCCAGGAUUAUUACAUACACUAGCUAGCAUUGUGAGGCUACAGAAAUUGUUCUUUGUUGUACUUGCUUAGCCCAUGUUCCAUCUGACAAGCAACAUAGGCAGAAAUGCAGUCACUGAUUUUGUAUUUGUUGAAAAAAAAAAUAAAUGGGCUUGGCCUGAUGUAGCAAGCAUUUGAAUUUUGCAACGGGUGCAUAUUGGCACAGAUGUUUUUAUUCCAGCAAAGCUGUGAAUUCUGAAAGAGAAGAAAAGAGAACUGUGAUCUAGUGUUACUGGUGACCUUGUGUCCUUGUUAAGACAUAAUUCACUACACACUGGUAUUGGUGACCUUGUGAAGCGAUAAUCAUCUGAUCUGAAGCUGAUGGUCAUGGCAAAAGCAGCCAAGGAAAUUAAUCUCAUGAAACUCUUGCUCAUUGUUUCACUGAAUCUGAUAAAACAUGACAUGGCACGUUUCUGAAGCAAUCUGAGGUCUGAACACUACAUUUUUGCUGCAUCUAUAUGCAAAUAUUUCUUUCUCCAAGCAAAAACACCAAUCCACAAAAGACAAUUUCUGAAACAAAUUAUACAUACAUGAAGAAAAAGAAACUACUACCUAUGUCAAAGAGCAUAUAAUCUUCCCCUGCUAUAACAACAUGUACUAGCUACAUUGCAUCUGCAGUGUUCUUUCUUUUCUUCUUCUCUUUUCCCUGUGAACUUGUUCAGUAUAGUUACAAGACCAAACCAAAUACACCAAGCCCAUAUGAUGUAGUUCUAGUAGUUACAGCCAAGAACAUGGCAAGAAACUAUGGAGAUGAAGAUGAAGAUGAUAUGCUACAACUCGACGGAGACGUAGGUGGCGGAGUAGUCCGGCAUCCGGUGCAGGCUCCGGAGCACGCUCUCGGCGACCUGCUUCGUCGCGGCGUCGCCCUUGUGGAACGCGCUCACCAGCGCGCUCGGCAGCGCGCGGUCCGCCGUCACGUCGCGCACGCACCGCUCGCCGCCGUGCGCCAGGAACCUCUCCACGGCCCAGAAGCAGCGCCGCGACACCGCGCCGGCGGUGUCGCCGCCGACGUCACGGUGCUGCCGCAGCGCGCGCAGGACGUGCCGCGCGGCGUCGUGCUCGGCGAGCACGGCCACGCCGCGUUCCACGUCGACGGCGUCGUCCAUGAGCGUGCAGAGCGCGCCCAGCACGGCGUCGACCACGCGGCCGUUCUCGUUGCUCUCGAGGACGCCGACGAGGGCCUCCACCGCGCCGGCCUCCGCCAGGCAGAACGUGGUGGCCGGGGAGCACACGCCGCGGUGCACCGGGCAGAGGCGUCCCUGCGCCGGCGGCGGUGGCGGCUUCCGGUUGUUGUCGUGCACCCGCCCGGUGUGCGCGUCGCGCAGGCGCCGGAGGAUGUUCUUCUUCUUGGGGCGCCGUUGCUCCUCUGAUGGCGGCUGCGAGAGGUUCACCGACUGGUGGCUAAGGUUCUCGAGGCCGACCGCCGCGAGCCGCUGCACCUCGUCGCUGCCCGCUGACCGCACGAGCAGAUCGGUGAGCACCGCCGUGAAGUUGUGAUCCAUGGCCGCCAGGAGCACGUCGGGGUCGUACAGCGUCAUCGUCAUCCGGACGAGCGCGCCGACGAGGCCCUCCAUGUACGUCUUGGCAUGGCGGCUCACUCGCAUUUCGCCGCGCUGCAUCUCCUCUAUCUUGGCCAGCAACGUCGGCACUGCUCCCUGCUCCAGCAGCGCCAGGUUGAGCGUGAUGUUCUGGUACGGCAGCCUCGCCAGCAGCGUCGCCGCCACGGCGUGCCGUUCGGUGACACGCCCGGGCUGGCCGAUGCUCUUCACCAGCCUUCCCGGCUGCCCUGGCGCCUUGCAGAGCUUCUCGGCAAUGGUGUGCCCCAUCUGAGGAGACAAUGCAAUGAGCAGCCUCGUCGCGCUGAUGCCUAACGCCUCCGUCUUCGAGCCCAUGAACUCGAUCACGGUCAGGCUGCUGUCCUGCUCCUUCAUGACGGACACCACCGUCAUGAGCGGCUUUGGGAGCGCAGUGAGCGCGAGCAGCACACGUAUGAUGCUCAGGUUGAGAUCAUCAGGCAUGGAGCACUUGAGCAUGUGGGUGAAGUUGUACACCGAAUACUUUGAAGUGAUGACAUGGCCUUCCUUGUUGACGACGAUGGUGUCGGGAUCGAGACCGGACUCGACGAUGUUGGCGAGCACUGCAGCAGCCUCUGUCUUGGACCCCAUAGGCUCGUCGUCGAUCUUGCGGAUGAAGAGCUCCUCCACCAUGACCGGAACAGCACCGGCGUCGACGAGAGUCUUGCUGUUGGGGCCAUCUGAGGAGAUCUGGACAAGGACAUCAAGGGCCGCCUUGCGGAUCACAGUGUUGCCGCUAUGCACCAUCUUGAUGAGGAUCUCUGAAGCACUCCCAGCAAUGUUGAUGGUCAUUUCCUGCUUCUGGACCAGCUCGCCGAGGUAGCUCACCAUCUCCAUUUGAACAUCUUCAGACCCUGUUUUAUAUGGUGUUUCAUGUCAGGUAAUGGACUAAUGGUAGUGUCAUGGUGUUAAGUUCACGCUAGCGAAUUUCAUAUUAGUCAUCAGAGCAAUAUUACUAUAUCUAGUUAUAACUGCUUGUUCUUUGUUAAUGUUCACCCUGUACUGAAGUACAUGUAUUCAGAAAUUGAUUGAUCUAAUGUUAAGCACACUAUUUACACAAAUAAAUAAGUUCUCUAUUAAUAGUCCACGAUGUUGACUUUUGGCAAUAUAAACUUCCUUAUUUGAUAUUAUAUAUGAUAAUUAACACAUCAAAGAAAGUCGUGUAUCUUUCUGCAUAGGCAAAAUUUUUACCUUCCACUAAAUGUCUUUGGAGAGGAUCCAGGUAACCACUUUCAGCCAUGUACUUAAUGUUCUUUGGGCAGUUCUCCAGGUUCUUGAGAACCUCCCCAGCCUUCUCUGCAGCAACCGGAUCAUCUGAAUCAUUGAAUUUCAUUGUGGUAAGCAUCAAUAUGCUUCCAGAAGUUGAUCCGAUGUUUUCCAACAAUAGCUCCGAUUUCGAAAGCUCUAGCAAGAAAGAGAUGGCUGCAUGUCUUUCAUCAGGACUAUUACUAGAAAGCAGCUUUAUUGUUCUUGUAAUGGCUCUGGUAUUUGCUAUGACUUCCUGUACGUCAUGAAGGCAUGAAGAAGAAUUUCAGUUUUGAACAAACACGCAGGGUAAUUGUUUCAGCAUUUAAAUAAGUUUCACACAACCAGGCCAGCGAAAACAUUGAACAUGAUAAGGGUCAAAACGUUUCAGGCUUCCUUACCUUUCCUGUUUCAUCCUCAGCCAAUAAGCAAAGGAGAUCCAGCGAAUCACAGCGUAUCAGACCAUCCUUGUGCUCCAACAAACGAGGGAGGAACUUAGUUAUCCCGAUUUUGUGCAUCUGUUCCCUGUUCUUUCUCCUUAUCUUGGCCAGCAGCUUCAGCUCUUGUAUGGCCUCAAGCAACAUUGCCUCUGUGGAAGCCAUGGAGAGCGCGGUUCGUGCAAUCCUGACCCUUGUGGCUUCAUUUCUCAUAAUCCAUUCUGCAAUUGUGCUCUUCAGUGGAACAUUGCUCCUCAGUGCCUUGCUUUGCAUCGACAUCUUUGUCACAGGGCAUACCACAGGUUCAGAACCAUCAGCAAAUUUCUCAAAGUACUCCUCAAUGGCUUUCCUAUCAUAUGUCACACCACUUUCUGUUGUCACUGGAUCAACCAUGACCUUGUUUGUCAAUGGACAGAAGAACGAAUCAUAUAAUGGCUCGACAUAUUCUGCAACUUCAGGGAGCGAAUUGAAUGAAUGUGCACCGAUAUCAUGUGAUUCAUGGUACAUUCCCUGCAGGAAGUCCACCAGCCUUGGCAUGUCACUAUUGUGCAAUGUUCUUCUCCGGGGCCUGCUGUUUGCCGGGAUUAUCGACAUAUCGGCCUCAGAGUAACCAUCGCAGGAAUUCUGGUCACAAUAACGCGGCCGAUGUCCUGCAAUCUGAAGGUUUGCAUCUGCUCUGCCAUCUGGAAACCUGCUGCUACCAAAUGUUGAAGCAGGUAUCCUGCUGAGCUCAUGCCCAAUGUUCUUUAUGACACUGUCAAGGUCCUCGGUCAUGCCCAGGAGGUCAUCGUUCUUGAGCUCCCGCGCAACGGCGCUGCACCUCAUGACGAGGUCCUUGGCGAGGUCGACAUUGGCAGCCAGAUACUCCAUGACGUGCAUCACAUUAACCGUCGAAUUCUGCACUCUCUGCAGCUCCAUCGUGACCAGGGGUGCAUGGUAGAGGUGGCUGCCUACAUCCAUGAAGUUCUCAUGCUCGGCAUCGGCUGCCGCCUCUGGCGGCAUGAGCUCAGAGAUCGCGGCCUCUAUGGACUCAACGAGUGACGCCUUCCUCGCCUGCGCUCCGCUUCGCUGAACAAGAGUACAUGUCAAUCAGGCACCCAAGCAAAAGCAUCCAAAAACACAGAUAACACACAGACUGUUCUGUUGUGAUGACAACUACAGUCCAAAAUUCAUACAGUCCAAUUAUAAAGCAAUAAUACAGGCUCCCUUGGCUGCAAUCAAUCUGAGGUUGACCCAAGGGGUUGAGUUCUACACAAGCAAAUUGACUUCCCCCAAUUCCAAAUUUUUAACAGUUUGUUCCAAGAACUACUAGCAUCUUAUCUACUGUACAGUGAAAAAAUCACCAGGAAAAUUGAAUAGAGGACACAAAUAACACAAGGGGGGGGGGGGGAGUACAUCAAGAACAGCUUGAUGCACAUUCUACCUGGAAAUCAACAUCGUUUCUCCGUUCCAUCUAACCAAAGUGGCAAAACGUACUACCACCACCAUAAAUUUGCUCACUUCAAGCAGGGUUCGCCAUCUCUAGCGCAAAGACCCCCCAUGAAUCCAUGAUUCCUCGCCUUACCAAAUCACGAAAUACAAACAGAAAUGGCACAAGAACCGAGGAAUUUGCGAAUCACAGCCUCACUACCCACCUUUACAAAAAAAAAAUCCAUGAAAUCUACCGAAAUUUAUGGCAGCACUACGAAUUAGCAGCAAGCGAACAAGCCAGCUUCGUCCCCCCAAAAGAGAGAUGCAGCAAACAGCAAGCUCAACUCCCCCACGCUUACCUGCAUCCAAGAACUCCAAGAACUUGACCGCGCCGCUGCUUCUCCUCCUCACCUUCCGCUCCAAGCUCCUCCUCCUCCUCCCGAGACUGAGAGGACGGAGACGCUACGACUGGGGUAGCAUUCUCCCCUCCUCCACCACCGCCCCCGCCAUGGCCUCCCCACUCCUCAAACUUACAGCGCCACCACCACCCCACCACCGCUCGAGCCGAGGAAUAAUACCACCUCGCUCGCGUAGGGAGGAAGAGACGAGAACAAAAGAGGGAGAGAGGGAGAGGGAAAAAAAAUACGGAGGAAUUACGGAAGAACGCGCAGUGGCAGCGCAGCACGGAGACUCAGUCAAGUGAAGGUCAGUUUGUUAAUCGUUAUAAGCAACCUCUCCCUAAUCUUUUUUUGUUUUUUUUUUCUUGAAAAAUGUAAACCUCCUGUUUUAGACUUUAGAGAUCGGUAAUAAAGCGACGUUUUCUUUUUGGAUGGAUAAACCGAUAAAGCGACCUUUCUUUUAACAACCACCUUUCUAAUGGCGUUUUACCUUGGGAGAUGUUGACUUUUUCUUUUUCUUUUUUUUCUUUUUUGUUUUUACAGUGAUGGUGCUUAGCUUAGCUGCAGGAGUCAAGACUUGCAGUGCACACCAAUGUAUGUGUCAAACCACAGACUAGGCGUUUAAAUUUUUUUAAACUUGGCCCAAAGAUUGUUUUUUACGGCAAGCUUAAGCAGAUGUUUUGUUUAAAGAAGGUGGUUAGCUAUGUGCCAACUGUCAUAAAUUUUUUUAAAGUAUAAACUGAUGGUUUCUUCCCUAUUUCCAAACAGUUUCUAGCUGGUAUGCAAUAUUCGGUCAAAAUUCGGCUGAGUUUGGUUAGACUGGAGGAUGUAAAAUAUAUUUUUGGUUGCUGUAUUAGAUUUUGAGCCUGGGCUACUGUUUAGGGUUAGGGGACUCCCAUGCGAAGGUUAGGCUGAGUGUUUGGGAGGCCUCUCUCCCACACGCAAAACAGUGUAUGCAUUAACUACUUUCUCCAUCUACUUUUGAUACUUAUAUUUUAUCUUGGCACACAGACCAACGAUAAGUAAUUAUACUUAUCAUCCAUUUAAACAUGCUAGUCAUUCCUCGUAAACAAGCGAUUCAUUAAUAUUUACAUUUCUCGAUGCCCAUAUAGCCAAUCUUGUGUGGAAGAAUGGAGAGUCACGUAUUAAAUCCGAGAAAGAUAUUAAGAGGAUAGGUUGUUGGAUUGAAAUAUGCCUAUCAAAAAUAAAUUUUUCAGAUUUGGAAAUAUGACUAUCAAAAGUAUAUGGAGGGAGUAAUUAAUUAAAUAUUAUUUAUUUUGUAAAAAAAUAGGACUAAUAUGAUUGUUUAAAAUAAUUUUUGUAUAUUUUUUUAAAAAAUACACUGUUUAGCAGCUUGAAAAGCGUGCGUAGAAAAUUAGAUAAAUGAGUUGAAAAGGUGGAGAAAAGAGCUCAGCCUUACAAGAUAUUUCUGGUAGAAGAUUUUGUUUGAUUAAUUGGUUAUAUAAAUUUUGAGUUUAUUUAUCUCUUUAUUUGAAUGGUGCGGUUACUCCUACACCUCCAAUAGAUAUAAAUAUAUAUAUCCACAACACUCGAAAUAUAAUGUGAGAUAGUGUGGUCUAUUUGCACUGAACAAGUACUCCUUCCAGUCACAAAUGUAUGAGACAGUGUGGAUCAUGAUAUGGUUACCAAUAUACGGAGUAGUAUUUUAUAAGAGCUACUAUGGGAAAGUUAUAAUAUUUUGAAACUAUUUUUAAGAUAAAUCUAACCAUAUCACUUUCAAAAGUUAGAUCGAAAUAUUUAAAGAGAAUAAUGAUUCAAAUUUAACCAUGUUUACCGCACACAUUCCAAAUCGUCACUUAUUUGUGACCGGAGGGGGAAAGCCUAAAUAUCACAAGGUCACCCUCAUCAUUUCCAUCGCCCUUCGUUGCAAUCACCAUUGAGCUGGUCAAUGCGUUCUUACCACGAGUCCAAGGGUAGGGGUGGGCAUUCAGAAUAACCGAGAAAUUCGGUUCAGUUCCUCAAUCUUUUGGAAAAUUCGGUCUUCAGAAUCACAAUACCGAUCGGUUUUCAUGAAAACUCAAGAACGAGCACUUUGGUCUUCGGUUAGUUCGGUUCGUUCUCGGUCAUAGACCGAACUAACUAUAACAAAAG